ACCACCCUUUAAUGGCUGGUGUUCUAACGUAGACCCGUGAUCCGGGUUGCGGACAGUGUCUGGUGGGUAGUUUGACUGGGGCGGUCUCCUCCCAAAGAGUAACGGAGGAGCACGAAGGUUGGCUAAUCCUGGUCGGACAUCAGGAGGUUAGUGCAAUGGCAUAAGCCAGCUUGACUGCGAGCGUGACGGCGCGAGCAGGUGCGAAAGCAGGUCAUAGUGAUCCGGUGGUUCUGAAUGGAAGGGCCAUCGCUCAACGGAUAAAAGGUACUCCGGGGAUAACAGGCUGAUACCGCCCAAGAGUUCAUAUCGACGGCGGUGUUUGGCACCUCGAUGUCGGCUCAUCACAUCCUGGGGCUGAAGUAGGUCCCAAGGGUAUGGCUGUUCGCCAUUUAAAGUGGUACGCGAGCUGGGUUUAGAACGUCGUGAGACAGUUCGGUCCCUAUCUGCCGUGGGCGCUGGAGAAUUGAGGGGGGCUGCUCCUAGUACGAGAGGACCGGAGUGGACGCAUCACUGGUGUUCGGGUUGUCAUGCCAAUGGCACUGCCCGGUAGCUAAAUGCGGAAGAGAUAAGUGCUGAAAGCAUCUAAGCACGAAACUUGCCCCGAGAUGAGUUCUCCCUGAGACCUUGAG
RNAcentral lists this ribosomal RNA (629 nucleotides) under Enterobacter hormaechei subsp. xiangfangensis. RNAcentral describes it as "partial 23S ribosomal RNA". It matches the Rfam family "Bacterial large subunit ribosomal RNA", at positions 2199 to 2824 of the family's 2925-position model. The record is from RNAcentral. Lineage: Bacteria; Pseudomonadati; Pseudomonadota; Gammaproteobacteria; Enterobacterales; Enterobacteriaceae.